UGGCUCAGUGGUAGAGCCCUUGCCUGUUAUGCAUGAGACCCUGGGUUCGAUUCCUCAG
This 58-nucleotide transfer RNA is filed under the name Dipodomys ordii (Ord's kangaroo rat). It matches the Rfam family "tRNA", at positions 8 to 63 of the family's 71-position model. Rfam says of the family: Transfer RNA (tRNA) molecules are approximately 80 nucleotides in length. Their secondary structure includes four short double-helical elements and three loops (D, anti-codon, and T loops). Further hydrogen bonds mediate the characteristic L-shaped molecular structure. tRNAs have two regions of fundamental functional importance: the anti-codon, which is responsible for specific mRNA codon recognition, and the 3' end, to which the tRNAs corresponding amino acid is attached (by aminoacyl-tRNA synthetases). tRNAs cope with the degeneracy of the genetic code in two manners: having more than one tRNA (with a specific anti-codon) for a particular amino acid; and 'wobble' base-pairing, i.e. permitting non-standard base-pairing at the 3rd anti-codon position. Lineage: Eukaryota; Metazoa; Chordata; Mammalia; Rodentia; Heteromyidae. The record is from Rfam by way of RNAcentral.